UAAAUAUCUAGACAGGGUUGAUCCUCCACAAGAGGAGAGUUGAUCACACAGAAAGACCUAAAAGCCAUAGAGAGCUACAACAGUGUUUCCCAACCGCAAGCCCCCUUCAUUUCUACUACACAACACGACCUCUGUGGAUCAGUAGCUCUUUCCUUUGCUCAGCAACCAAACAGCCCAUUCCCUGUUUGUUUCAACUUUGCAGGGGAUCACCAACGGGGAGCUGAGAUACUAGAGUUUUCCAUGGAAAUGAAAGUUAAGAAGGGCACCAGGGAGGCCAUUGGCACACAGAGCAGUCAAUAGUAUUGAACAAGAAAAAGCUGCAUGACUUUUAGACCGGAGGAGUGAGGACAGCACUUAGAGGAGAGUCCGCACCGGUAAAAUGCAGGAUAAUAAUGGCACCUACAUCGUGGGGUUGUGAAGAUUAAAGAUUAACAUUGAAGAAGCAUUCAGAAUAACACCUGGCAUAAGCCUGCUUUGGUCCAAGGUCCUCUUUGGAGAGAAUCCUGAAAGUGUAAAUGACUUGCAGCUGAACCAGGCCCCUACUUCACGGGUAUGUACUGCAUUAAACCCCACACCCCUGCUUGGCCUCGCCUGGGAAAGCUUCAGAAGAGCUCUUCAAAGCAGACCUCAUCAAAACAAACACCCCUACCUCUACCCCCAUCUCCUGUGCUCUUCAGAAAACAAACAACAAUACUUCUCUGUUCACCAAACAGAAGGAGAAUUUUCUGUUUAAAGUAUUUUUUUCUUAUUCCCUAUUGGCAGCACUUACUAAGGAACGGAUGACUUUCAAGUUGAGUGAACUCUGUUUGAAACAUAAGCACAUAAGAAUCCAGGUGCUUAAAACUUUUUCAAACUUAGAGACAUCCUUACAACCUUCAUAUAAAAAACAUAUUUUUAAUGUUUUAUUAAAACCUCUGUCAGUUUAAAGGAAAGGAUCUCUUUGACCACAGAUUUUGAGUAACUACAUUUACAAUGAAAGCUAGUAAGCAAAAUGUCUAAGAUGCUAUUUUCCUUUCAAACUUUUGGAAACAGCUUUGGUGUUAGAUGGACCUGGGUUUGAAUUCUGUUUUCCUUACUUCCUAGCUGUAAGAUCUCAAGCAGCUGACCCAACCUCUCUGUGCCUCAAUUUCUUCAUUGGUAAAAUGCGGAUAAGAAUAGUACAUAGUAGCCAGGCAUGGUGGCUCAUGCCUGUAA
Molecule: long non-coding RNA, 1194 nt
Organism: Macaca mulatta (Rhesus monkey)
Lineage: Eukaryota; Metazoa; Chordata; Mammalia; Primates; Cercopithecidae
Source: RefSeq, a predicted model, not a curated record